Esox lucius (northern pike) is the source of this 6580-nucleotide long non-coding RNA. The record is from Ensembl. NCBI's taxonomy places the organism in Eukaryota, Metazoa, Chordata, Actinopteri, Esociformes, Esocidae.
UGACAGACUGUGACAUACAACAGAGAGUCCAAGGAGAGGUGAGUGACAGACUGUGACAUACAACAGAGAGUCCAAGGAGAGGUGGGAUACAGACUCUGCCACAUACAACAAAGAGUGGCUUUAUUCAUCAAUAUACAACAACAUGGAGGAUACAACACCGAAAUUCAUUGUGAAAUAAAACCCUUCGUGGUAUGUGUCCUCUUAUCUGGCCUGCCGCCGCCCUAGUCCCUGCCCUUGUCCCUGCUCUGCGGACUGCGGUUGCGCCAGUCCCUUCAGCUGUCUCUAUUGUUUCUCCACAGCCAGCCCCAGUCCCUUUUCCGCAAGUCGGGGGAGUUUCUUUAUAUAUGGGGGUUCCUGAAUAUUUAGUUACGCCCUCUGAUGUUCGCUAUUGGUCAGUUUAAAUGGGGGUUCCUGAACAUUAAGUUACAUCCACUGAUGUUCGCCAUUGGUCAGUUUGGGGACAUCCUGGUUUGACACACGUUUCAACAAUAGGUGUCAUGUAUGGGUAUGAUGUCAUUACGUUGAGUGUACUAAUGGAGGAAGAGUAAACUAUAGUUACAACUUUAUCUCAGAGUCCAUGUGAUUUUAUUCAAUAUAAUUUGUCAAGAUAUAACUCUAGGUUCAAGCAGUUGAAGCACUGAUAGAAAACAAAAGUGUAUUUGCUUUGACUGCAUGUUGAAAAAACACUAGUCUGAUUAUGCUUGUACCAAUUAUGUAAAAUAAAACAUUUAAUUGUAUUUUGUAUCAGGAUUAAAAUUGUUUGAUAACAACUGAAAUAUAUUGUUUUGAAGACUGAGGUGCCUCUAAAAAAGUUUUAAAUGUUUAGGUUACAGUCAAGAAUGAGAUACUGGUGGUUUUGAAAGCUGCUAAGUGCAGUUAUAAUUCAGACACAUGCACAGUCAUACUCACUAUGCCUGCCAUGGUCAGUUUUUCUUUGAGUAGCCAUUGCUUGGUUAUAUGUGAUUAAGUUGAAGGCCAUCAUUAGGAGGUUGAUGAUUGAGAAUGCUGCUUAUUGCAGUUAAAAUAUAGUUGAUCUGAGCUCUUCAUGUUACAAAGUGAAACAGGCCUCCCUUUUGCACAAGUUUAUACAAUAUUACCAUUUAUGUAUUUUCCAUAGAUUCAACAUAUUACACAAAUGUGAACACGGUGUGUAAGAUAUAUCUUGCGGUGGACCUGGGAGCAACAACUUCAGUGACAGCUAAACUGUUCUGAAGGUCCUUUCCCUAGACCUGUGGGUUCUACCUGUAUAGAUCUGACCAGUUUUCAUACAAAUCAUUGUAAUGGUUUCUCCUUCCUCUGACUUGCACUGUUCAAUUUAAAAGCAAUCUUGUAGAAAGUUGAAACUGGUAAUUGGAAGUGUGGAAUUUUCUAUAGCCUGUUGCAGAAAAAUGGCAAGUUUCAAUUUGCAUCAUGUAGAGCUCAGGUCAACAUCUGUUUACAGAACAAUACAUUUUUCCAGGAGUGCCUGGAACAAGCAACAUUUAUUAUAUAGUAAUGAUGUGGUUAUGGACUUAAUUUUUUGGGGGGAGGAAUGUAAGUGUUACAUCUAAUUUAACCCUUAACCUAAAAGUUGAUUCAAUAGCAUAAAUUACAAGUAGAACAGGUCCAAAAGAGCACAAAUGAGAAAGUCAAUUAAUGUAGCCCAAAAUCUUAAAGUUAAUGGCAUAACUUAAAAAUACAACAUUAAAUUAUAUGCCAGUUAGACAAUUAAACAUUUAAUUACCCCAUUAAAUAUUCAAAACAUUACAUUCCAACACUGUCAAAACUAAACUGUUUCUUUACGUACUGUGUAUUCAACUUUGGCCAGAUUCUGUAGGAUUUGGAUUCAUCCUAUCAUGUUGUAUGGCCAGGUGAACACUUCCAAAACACUGUCCAGUUUAUUCUUGCUAAAUAAAUGAUGUUCUUUGUCUGUUUGUCUCGUCAAAUUGUAUUGUGUUUUCUGGAUCUUGUAAUUGUUGUUGUGUGGAAAACAGCAUUAGAUGAUGGUUUAAAGACAGCUAAUAGGUAUCCUGAAAAAUUAUCACUAAGUCCUCUUUUGUCUGUUUCGUCCAUGAAUGUUUCAGUGUCUUCAAAAUUACUAAACAAAAACAUGAAUGGGGAGAGAGUUCUUCCUCUAGAUUUGAAGCCUCUCUGAGCAUCUGCAGACCACCUGUAUUUCCUCAUCAUUCAGGGGUGAGGACUUGUACCCAGUCUCAGGAGAGGCCCAUGUUGGCAUUUACCCAGGCAACAGCAUCUCCCAGCUCAACAAUGCAUCUUUGGAACUGAAAUGAAAAAUCACAACAAUCACAGUCCCUGCUGCCACAGCAUACAACACCGAAAUUCAUUUUGACAUAAAACCCUUGGUGGUAUGUGACCUCUUAUUUGGCCUGCCGCCGCCCUAGUCCCUUCUCUGCGGCCGGCCCCCAUCCCAGUCUCUGCCCCUACUCCGCGUCCUGUCGCCGCUCCAGUCCCUGCCAUCGUCCCUCUUGUUGCUCCACAGCCAGCCCCAGUCCCGUUUUCCAAAGCCUGCCACCCCUUUUCUUCUCCUCGGCCUGCCGCCGCCCCUGUUUCUGCUCAGCGGCCUGCCGCUGCCCCUGUGCCUAAACUACAGUGCGUUUAUUGUUUACAGCCUGAAUUAUUUAUAACUCAGUUCCACUGGUAACCAAGUGGCUUUAUUCAUCAAUAUACAACAACAUGGAGGAUACAACACCAAAAUUCAUUGUGACAGAAAACCCUUCGUGGUAUGUGACCUCUUAUUUGGCCUGCCGCUGUCCUAGUCCCUGCCACCGCCCCUCUUGUUGCUCCACAGCCAGCACCUGUCCCUUUUCCACGGCCUGCUGCCGCCCCAGUUUCUUUACCGCGGCCUUCCGCCGCCCCAGUCCCUAUUUCUUUCUGACAUUCAGUCACACCGUUUCAUUAUUAGUUGAGUGUUAUUUUUAGUAUUGCAGUAGCCUUUAUAUUAGGGACCAGGAUAAUAGGUAUAUUGAUGCAAUGUUUUGUCUUCUCCUGUAAGGACUGUGUGGCGGACCUCUAGCUUAAUGCAUGGACACGAAUUGGGACAACCAUGUGAAGUGAAACCUCCUGCAACCUUUCACUUUGGCACGUUCUGUGUUCCAGAGCCAGAUUCAUGGCAUAACGGAAAUUUUGUUUGGGAAAAGGCGGAAGGCCUGACCUUGUUAUGCCUGGAACACAUCUCCAAUUCAACGCUGAGACAGAACAGCACAACUUGAAAUUGAACCUUGAGCCUUGUGCCCAACAGCAACAAAUUGUGGGCACAGAGUGGCUCGAUACAGAAGAAGAUGAGACAGUAUUUCUGUCAAGGUUUCUACAACAUCUUGAUUAAGGCAGAGAGGCCUUCAGGGCGAUACGGACAAGGGCAACAACAGUACUCUGCAAAAAACAACCUUGUCUACUAUGACAGAAGCAGAGCCGUGAUCAGAACAUACACUGUCGUUAUCCUGACAACUGGGAAAGAUUAAGCCAUGGUUGGACGAUUCCGCCAUGGUUGGAUAAAUGAGCCAAGGUUGGACGAUUCAGUCAUGGCUGGACGAUUCAGCCAUGGCUGGACGAUUCAGCUAUGGCUGGACGAUUCAGCUAUUGGUGGAUAAAUGAGCCAUGGGUGGACGAUUCAGCCAUGGCUGGACGAUUCAGCCAUGGGUGGACGAUUCAGCCAUGGGUGGACGAUUCAGCUAUGGGUGGAUAAAUUAACCAUGGUUGGACGAUUCCGCCAUGGUUGGAUAAAUGAGCCAUGGUUGGAAGAUUCAGCCAUGGUUGGACGAAUCGGCCAUGGGUGGACGAUUCAGCCAUGAGUGGAUAAAUGAGACACGGUGGGACACAAAAAACUUCAGCAAAGCGGUGACGCAAGAUCACUCAGCUUCUAAGUCAAAUAAGUCUUCAGCCUGUAAGUUAUCUGGGUCCAAACAUACAAAGAAGAACAGCCGGCCUGACAGGAGUGAGGAGAAACAUGGCAGGAGUGACAAGGUGGUUAAAGACAUGUCUGUCCGGUGCUUUGACAGAGAGGGCUGGACAAAAAGGCAAAAGCUGUCGGACUCGGGAAAAGCUGUCGGAUGACUACGAAGGGGAGGAGAAACUGGGGGGAGGUAUAAAGGGAGUCAGUCCUUCCAAGAUAAAAUGCACUAGCUCUCUUAUCAGCAACACCUACUCCGAGCAGAAGGAGAGAAGAGCGUGUGAGAAUACUCAAAAGGGCAUGCUUGACAAUACACCCAGACGCAAACUCAAAAGGACAGAGCCAGGGAGGUCCCUCCAGGAGCCAGAGGCUCUCAAAAAGCAAGAACCCAGCUACCACCCCAACGCUACAUCUUCACAUAGAAGUCCUGGUGUUCCACAGACCCAAGCGCAGAGCUUAAGUGGAGAGGCUGCAAGAGUGGCCAAGGUGACCGAUCAAGCUGCGUGGCCUACUGAUACCCUUCAACAAGAGUCACCUGAUUACAAGGGAGAGAGGGGGUGUGACCGUGAGGAGGACGGGCUAGACAGAGAGGAUCACCCGAACCAACCUGCUGAGCCUACAUCUGCUGCAGAGUCGUCACUGGAAGUUACUGAUGUCCAAUCAGACUUUCAUGAUAGACUAGACCAGCUGGUGGCUAAACCGUCCAACAAGAUGAAACCUAGCGCUCAAAGCAAAAAAAGAGAUCUGCGUAGCAAAAGAGUUGGCAAAUGUGCCAAGAAACAAGAACCUUUUCACCACCCCAAAGCGGUGACGCAAGAUCGCUCGGCUUCUAAGUCAAAUAAGUCUUCAGCCUCUAAAUCAUCUGGGUCCAAGAGUGACAACAUGGCCCACGAUUCACCAGCACACAGCUUGCACCACAGGUACAGUCAGGACAACGAGCACCCUUGGCUGAACGAGGCUGAGGAAGUGAACAGGGAAGAGGAAGAGUGUCAUGACGAUGAAGAUGAGAUCCCCGGUGAGGAUUUGGCGGCUACGAUGGACUACAACAACAGCGAGAGUCCAGGCGAAUACGAUUGCAGUGACGACUUCAUAGACGACCGAUCUACCGAGGAGGAAUACAGCAAAGAAGUGGAGGAGGAUGAUGAGGUGUUCUGUGCUCAGGUUAAAAGGAGGGCCAAAAAGGCUAUGAGGGAGAUGAAGAAUGUUAAUCUGGGACAUGAGUAUAAGCGCGUGUCACAUUCAGAGUCCGAAGAAGACGAGUACUGCCCAGAGUCUGCCUGUAGCGUUAUGAAAGAGGACACUCUGGGGUGUAAACGUGCCCUGCAAUCAGACUCAGAUGAGUUGAUCAAGCCAGAUGUAAAGCGUGUCAAACUUACAAAGAACAGCCGGCCUGACAGGAGUGAGGAGAAAUGUAGCAGGAGUGCCAGCAUGGUAAAAGAGACAUCUGUGCAGCGCUUUGACCGAGAGGAUAAGACGCUUGUUAAAAAGAGACAGGACAAGUCUAACAAGAGGUGCGAAAGAGUAAUGUCUGCUAAGAACACACAGAUCCCAAAUCGGGAUUCGCCUCUGUACAAAACCAAGCUUUCGGACUCGGAAACCGAUGACUACGAAAGGGAGGAGAAACUGGGGAGAGGUAUAAAGGGAGUCAGUCCUUCCAAGAUAAAAUGCACUAGCUCUCUUAUCAGCAACACCUACUCCGUGCAGGAGGAGAGAAGAGUGUGUGAGAAUACUCAAAAGGGCAUGCUUGACAAUACACCCAGACGCAAACUCAAAAGGACAGAGCCAGGGAGGUCCCUCCAGGAGCCAGAGGCUCUCAAAAAGCAAGAACCCAGCUACCACCCCAACGCUACAUCUUCACAUAGAAGUCCUGGUGUUCCACAGACCCAAGCGCAGAGCUUAAGUGGAGAGGCUGCAAGAGUGGCCAAGGUGACCGAUCAAGCUGCGUGGCCUACUGAUACCCUUCAACAAGAGUCACCUGAUUACAAGGGAGAGGGGGGGUGUGACCGUGAGGAGGACGGGCUAGACAGAGAGGAUCACCCGAACCAACCAGCUGAGCCUACAUCUGCUGCAGAGUCGUCACAGGAACAUUCUGAUGUCCAAUCAGACUUUCAUGAUAGACUAGACCAGCUGGUGACUAAACCGUCCAACAAGAUGAAACCUAGCGCUCAAAGCAAAAAAAGCGAUCUGCGUAGCAAAAGAGUUGGCAAAUGUGCCAAGAAACAAGAACCUUUUCACCACCCCAAAGCGGUGACGCAAGAUCGCUCGGCUUCUAAGUCAAAUAAGUCUUCAGCCUCUAAAUCAUCUGGGUCCAAGAGUGACAACAUGGCCCACGAUUCACCAGCACACAGCUUGCACCACAGGUACAGUCAGGACAACGAGCACCCUUGGCUGAACGAGGCUGAGGAAGUAAACUGCGAAUCGGAAGAGUGUCAUGAGGAUGAAGAUAAGAUCCCCGGUGAGGAUUUGGAGGAUACGAUGGACUACAAAAACAGCGAGAGUCCAGACGAAUACGAUUACAGUGACGACUUCAUUGAUGACUUCAUAAGACUUCAUAUCACUUCAUAAGAAGUGAUACAGAUUGCUUAUUUUAGUUUGAUAUCUAACUUAGCAAAAUGUUUAAUACCUGUGUGACAUAUUCCAACCCAUCCCUGUACCCAUCUCUGUAUGUGAUAAUAAAAUUAAGUUAAACACCGG